Molecule: ribosomal RNA, 524 nt
Filed under: Archiaphyosemion guineense (Guinean killifish)
Lineage: Eukaryota; Metazoa; Chordata; Actinopteri; Cyprinodontiformes; Nothobranchiidae
Description: partial 16S ribosomal RNA
Rfam family: Bacterial large subunit ribosomal RNA
Source: RNAcentral
UGUUUAACGGCCGCGGUAUUUUGACCGUGCAAAGGUAGCGCAAUCAAUUGUCUUUUAAAUGAAGACCCGUAUGAAUGGCACAACGAGGGCUUAACUGUCUCCUUUUUUCAGUCAAUGAAAUUGAUCUUCCCGUGCAGAAGCGGGAAUAAUAACAUAAGACGAGAAGACCCUAUGGAGCUUAAAACGCAAGAAGAGAUCACACUACUAACACUAAAUUAACAGUUUAAGGCAGCUGAUCCCUCUUCUAGUGUUUUUGGUUGGGGCGACCACGGGGUAGAACAAACCCCCCGCGUAGAAUGAAAAUAUAAAGUUUUCUAAUUAAAGGGUGACAACCCUAAAAACCAGAACCUCUGACUUUUUGAUCCGGCUUAGCCGAUUAACGAACCGAGUUACCCUAGGGAUAACAGCGCAAUCCUCUUUUAGAGUUCAUAUCGACAAGAGGGUUUACGACCUCGAUGUUGGACCAGGACAUCCUAUUGGUGCAGCCGCUAUUAAGGGUUCGUUUGUUCAACGAUUAAAGUCCU